GACGAACGCUGGCGGCGUGCUUAACACAUGCAAGUCGAACGGAAAGGCCCUGCUUUUGUGGGGUGCUCGAGUGGCGAACGGGUGAGUAACACGUGAGUAACCUGCCCUUGACUUUGGGAUAACUUCAGGAAACUGGGGCUAAUACCGGAUAGGAGCUCCUGCUGCAUGGUGGGGGUGGGAAAGUUUCGGCGGUUGGGGAUGGACUCGCGGCUUAUCAGCUUGUUGGUGGGGUAGUGGCUUACCAAGGCUUUGACGGGUAGCCGGCCUGAGAGGGUGACCGGGCCCAUUGGGACUGAGGUACGGCCCAGACUGCUACGGGAGGCAGCGGUGGGGAAUAUUGCGCAAUGGGCGGAGGCCUGAUGCAGCGACGCCGCGUGCGGGUUGACGGCCUUCGGGUUGUAAACCGCUUUCGCCUGUGACGAAGCGUGAGUGACGGUAAUGGGUAAAGAAGCACCGGCUAACUACGUG
Molecule: ribosomal RNA, 468 nt
Filed under: uncultured bacterium
Lineage: Bacteria
Description: partial 16S ribosomal RNA
Rfam family: Bacterial small subunit ribosomal RNA
Source: RNAcentral